CCCUUAGAUGUUCUGGGCCGCACGCGCGCUACACUGACGAUGGCAACGAGUUUUUCCUUCGCCGAAAGGUGUGGGUAAUCUUUUGAAACAUCGUCGUGCUGGGGAUAGAUCAUUGCAAUUUUUGAUCUUGAACGAGGAAUUCCUAGUAAGCGCGAGUCAUCAGCUCGCGUUGAUUACGUCCCUGCCCUUUGUACACACCGCCCGUCGCUACUACCGAUUGAAUGGUUUAGUGAGGACUCCUGAUUGGCGCCGCCGCCCCGGCAACGGAGCAGCGGACUGCCGAAAAGUUGUUCAAACUUGGUCAUUUAGAGGAAGUAAAAGUCGUAACA
RNAcentral lists this ribosomal RNA (329 nucleotides) under uncultured eukaryote. Its description in RNAcentral is "partial 18S ribosomal RNA". It matches the Rfam family "Eukaryotic small subunit ribosomal RNA", at positions 1470 to 1796 of the family's 1831-position model. The record is from RNAcentral.